Molecule: non-coding RNA, 73 nt
Organism: Podarcis lilfordi (Lilford's wall lizard)
Lineage: Eukaryota; Metazoa; Chordata; Lepidosauria; Squamata; Lacertidae
Source: the annotation of a GenBank genome assembly
GUGCAGAUAGCACAGUCGGUAGACCAUGAGAUUCUCAGUCUCAGGGUUGUGGGUUCUAGUCCCAUGUUGGAUG